UGAGAGCAGGCAAGGUUACCCGCCAAAUUUAAGCAUAUUAAUAAGCGGAGGAAAAGAAAACAACCGUGAUACCCUUAGUAAUGGCGAAUGAAACGGGUAGAGCCCAGCACCGAACCGCCGGCCAUCUCGGUCGCGUGGAAUGUGGUGUUUGGGAAAGCCUCAUCGCAGUGAGCCGAAGCGUUCAAGUACACCUUGACUGGGACCACGGCCCGUAGAGGGUGAUAGGCCCAUGAGACCUUUGGCUUGCUGCGCUGGCUUUUCCCUAGAGUCGAGUUGUUUGGGAGUACAGCUCAAAGCGCGUGGUAAACUCCACGUAAGGCUAAAUAUGACCCCGAGACCGAUAGCGAACAAGUACCGUGAGGGAAAGUUGAAAAGCACUUUGAAGAGAGAGUUCAAGAGUACGUGAAACCGCUUAGUAGUAAACAGAGGGACUCUCGAAGUCGGCGGUGACGGUUCAGGGUGACGGCGGGGCGGCCUGGGGGCGUGGGAUCCGCAAGGACCCUGUCCCUUUGUCAGCUCUGUCGGCGCCUGCACUUCGUUGCCGCCAUACGCGAUGAACCGCUUCUGGCGGACCGAGGGCGUGGGUGAAGUUUGUUGGCCUCGGCUUUCAAGCCCCGCGUUCCUGGCUCUGUCGGGGACGGGUAGUAGAGCGAUCUCUUAUAGAGAGUGCCCUUGCUGGCACGGUUCGCAUCUCUAUCGCGAGUAGGUCGGCGGUCCCUCUGACCCGUCUUGAAACACGGACCAAGGAGUUUAACAUGUGCGCGAGCCAUUGGGUGUUCGAAACCCAAAGGCGCAGUGAAAGCAAAGUCUGACUUGUCAGAUGAGGGGUGAUCCUUCACGGGCGCAACCCCGGAGCUUCGCAUCGACCUCGCUUCGUGCGGAGCAUCAAGAGCGUACACGUUGAGACCCGAAAGAUGGUGAACUAUGCCUGGCCAGGUUGAAGUCAGGGGAAACCCUGAUGGAGGACCGUAGCGAUUCUGACGUGCAAAUCGAUCGUCUGAGCUGGGUAUAGGGGCGAAAGACUAAUCGAACCAUCUAGUAG
Molecule: ribosomal RNA, 1042 nt
Filed under: Oithona similis
Lineage: Eukaryota; Metazoa; Arthropoda; Copepoda; Cyclopoida; Oithonidae
Description: partial 28S ribosomal RNA
Rfam family: Eukaryotic large subunit ribosomal RNA
Source: RNAcentral